Molecule: non-coding RNA, 124 nt
Organism: Picea glauca (white spruce)
Lineage: Eukaryota; Viridiplantae; Streptophyta; Pinopsida; Pinales; Pinaceae
Source: Rfam
UCUUAUGUACAUGCCUACAAUGUUAACUCACUGGAUCUCAUCAAAACUCCGCAAUUAAUUUCACUUGGGAUAGAGUGGUACUGGGAUGGGUUACCUCCCGAGAAGUCCUGGUGUUUUACAUGCC